Molecule: long non-coding RNA, 436 nt
Filed under: Setaria viridis
Lineage: Eukaryota; Viridiplantae; Streptophyta; Magnoliopsida; Poales; Poaceae
Description: long non-coding RNA (SVIR_LNC010891)
Source: RNAcentral
GGUGGGGUGCCAGGAAGUAAAAGAAGAGAGAGAAGAAAGGAAAAAGAAAGGGGAGGAAGAAGGAGAAGGAAAAAGGAGAAGGAAAAGAAGGAGGAAGAAAAAGAAAAAAAAGAAGAGAAAGAGAGGGAAGGGAGGGGAAAAAGAUGGCGAAAUUUUCGGGAUUCGUCUGCGCGCGGUGACGGAGUGACGGGCACGCGGCGAAAAUUACGGGGAGUGGAAAAUGGGGAAUUGACGGGUCGGGGCCAUGACGGCGGGUCCGACGGAUGUGAAAGGAUUUGACGGAGCUCGGCGGUCGGAAAAAUUUUGGAAAGUGUUUUUAACGGGUGAUUUAACCGGGUGUAUUUUACGGGCGUUACAUCAACGUUGCCCUCUGAUGUUAUUCCUGCACUCAGUUAUACCUCUCUCUCAAGUGUUUAGCAUUAGAGUUUAAGUUGUG